This 514-nucleotide ribosomal RNA is filed under the name Monolepta nigripes. Its description in RNAcentral is "partial 12S ribosomal RNA". Lineage: Eukaryota; Metazoa; Arthropoda; Insecta; Coleoptera; Chrysomelidae. The record is from RNAcentral.
UGCGGUUAAACAAAUAAUACAAUUUAAUUUUAUUAAUAUUAAUUAAUUUGAUUAUUUAAUUUUAAUAAAAAAUUUAUUAAGUGGAAUUUUAAAUUUUUUAAAAGUUAAUUAUUUUAAAUGAAGUUAAGAAAAUUUUAAUUUAGACUAGGAUUAGAUACCCUAUUAUUAAAAAGGUAAUUUUAUUUAUUAAAUUAGUAUUAGUUAUGUUCUUAAAAAUUAAAAAUUUUGGCGGUAUUUUAGUCUUUUCAGAGGAACCUGUUCUAUAAAUGAUAAUCCACGAUUUAAUUUACUUUUUUUAUUAGUUUAUAUAUCGUCGUAAUUAAAUAUUUUAUUAGAAUUUUAAUAUUUAAGAUUUUUUAUUAAAAAAUUAAUCAGAUCAAGGUGUAGUUUAUAAAAAAGAAGAAAUGGGUUACAUUUAAUUUAUUAUUGGAUUAUUAUUAUUAUUAAUAAUAUAAAUUUGGAUUUGAAAGUAAAAUUAAUUAAUUAAUUAGUUUGAUUUAGCUCUAAAAUAUGU